Long non-coding RNA from Micropterus dolomieu (smallmouth bass), 376 nucleotides. RefSeq lists it as uncharacterized. The transcript has 3 exons. Lineage: Eukaryota; Metazoa; Chordata; Actinopteri; Centrarchiformes; Centrarchidae. The record is from RefSeq and is a predicted model, not a curated record.
UUGUCUUUGUCGGGUCAUUGUAUGUUGUCACCCUGUGUAGCAGUUUGUUCUCGUGUCUUCAGCCCUACUCGCCGUGUCUCCCUGUUACCCUGCUCAUUUUUGGAUUCUGGUUUUCACCCUUUUGGAUUUCUGUUGGACAGCCUUUGUUUUUGGACUCAGUCAAUCAGCCACUCUGUGUUAUGCUUCACUUUUACAAGAGAAAAGAAUCUGAGGAUGAGGAGCAACCGAUGAUUUUGGCAAAGCCAGCCAACCAACCAAGAGCUCGUCCAAGGAUUGCAUGACCUCUUAACUCAAUGGAACAAAGCUUUAACACAUCCAGGCCAAAAGAGAUUUUCACAUUUUCAUCACUAUUUCCAAGUGUUCAUGUUUUCAGACG